GCCGUCGUGGUGGAAUUGGUAGACACGCUAUCUUGAGGGGGUAGUGUCGAAAGACGUAUGAGUUCGAGUCUCAUCGACGGCA
This 82-nucleotide transfer RNA is filed under the name Methylovorus glucosotrophus. Its description in RNAcentral is "tRNA-Leu". It matches the Rfam family "tRNA". From Rfam's summary of the family: Transfer RNA (tRNA) molecules are approximately 80 nucleotides in length. Their secondary structure includes four short double-helical elements and three loops (D, anti-codon, and T loops). Further hydrogen bonds mediate the characteristic L-shaped molecular structure. tRNAs have two regions of fundamental functional importance: the anti-codon, which is responsible for specific mRNA codon recognition, and the 3' end, to which the tRNAs corresponding amino acid is attached (by aminoacyl-tRNA synthetases). tRNAs cope with the degeneracy of the genetic code in two manners: having more than one tRNA (with a specific anti-codon) for a particular amino acid; and 'wobble' base-pairing, i.e. permitting non-standard base-pairing at the 3rd anti-codon position. The record is from RNAcentral. Lineage: Bacteria; Pseudomonadati; Pseudomonadota; Betaproteobacteria; Nitrosomonadales; Methylophilaceae.